UAUCUGUUCAAUACCAAAUGCGGAGAGCCCA
RNAcentral lists this non-coding RNA (31 nucleotides) under Mus musculus (house mouse). Lineage: Eukaryota; Metazoa; Chordata; Mammalia; Rodentia; Muridae. The record is from RNAcentral.